AACAUCGCGCACCUGCGGGAACCUGCGGAAGGAUCAUUAACGAAAGGAGCGUCUGGCCUUGCGCCCGACGCUCUCUAGGUCGCACGCGGACAAACUGGCUCUGCUUCAUCCAGAUUUUCCCGUGUCCUACAAACCACUGUGUGCACCGUAUAUAUGCAUUUGCGUAGCUUUCUAUUUGUCUGUCUGAUGUUUACAUUUUCUGACUUUGGCUUUGCGGCCAAAUGACUGAUAAUUAAAACA
Molecule: unclassified non-coding RNA, 240 nt
Filed under: soil metagenome
Description: partial contains 5.8S ribosomal RNA, internal transcribed spacer 2, and large subunit ribosomal RNA
Source: RNAcentral